Molecule: ribosomal RNA, 938 nt
Filed under: Lactiplantibacillus pentosus
Lineage: Bacteria; Bacillati; Bacillota; Bacilli; Lactobacillales; Lactobacillaceae
Description: bacterial SSU rRNA
Rfam family: Bacterial small subunit ribosomal RNA
Source: RNAcentral
CNGNUUUAUUGGGCGUAAGCGAGCGCAGGCGGUUUUUUAAGUCUGAUGUGAAAGCCUUCGGCUCAACCGAAGAAGUGCAUCGGAAACUGGGAAACUUGAGUGCAGAAGAGGACAGUGGAACUCCAUGUGUAGCGGUGAAAUGCGUAGAUAUAUGGAAGAACACCAGUGGCGAAGGCGGCUGUCUGGUCUGUAACUGACGCUGAGGCUCGAAAGUAUGGGUAGCAAACAGGAUUAGAUACCCUGGUAGUCCAUACCGUAAACGAUGAAUGCUAAGUGUUGGAGGGUUUCCGCCCUUCAGUGCUGCAGCUAACGCAUUAAGCAUUCCGCCUGGGGAGUACGGCCGCAAGGCUGAAACUCAAAGGAAUUGACGGGGGCCCGCACAAGCGGUGGAGCAUGUGGUUUAAUUCGAAGCUACGCGAAGAACCUUACCAGGUCUUGACAUACUAUGCAAAUCUAAGAGAUUAGACGUUCCCUUCGGGGACAUGGAUACAGGUGGUGCAUGGUUGUCGUCAGCUCGUGUCGUGAGAUGUUGGGUUAAGUCCCGCAACGAGCGCAACCCUUAUUAUCAGUUGCCAGCAUUAAGUUGGGCACUCUGGUGAGACUGCCGGUGACAAACCGGAGGAAGGUGGGGAUGACGUCAAAUCAUCAUGCCCCUUAUGACCUGGGCUACACACGUGCUACAAUGGAUGGUACAACGAGUUGCGAACUCGCGAGAGUAAGCUAAUCUCUUAAAGCCAUUCUCAGUUCGGAUUGUAGGCUGCAACUCGCCUACAUGAAGUCGGAAUCGCUAGUAAUCGCGGAUCAGCAUGCCGCGGUGAAUACGUUCCCGGGCCUUGUACACACCGCCCGUCACACCAUGAGAGUUUGUAACACCCAAAGUCGGUGGGGUAACCUUUUAGGAACCAGCCGCCUAAGGUGGGACAGAUGAUUAGGGUGAA